Molecule: ribosomal RNA, 253 nt
Filed under: uncultured bacterium
Lineage: Bacteria
Description: partial 16S ribosomal RNA
Rfam family: Bacterial small subunit ribosomal RNA
Source: RNAcentral
GACGAACCGAGCGAACGUUGUCCGGAAUCACUGGGCGUAAAGGGCGCGUAGGCGGCCUGAUAAGUAGGGGGUGAAAUCCUGCGGCUUAACCGCAGGGCUGCCUUCUAAACUGUCGGGCUUGAGCACAGUAGAGGCAGGUGGAAUUCCCGGUGUAGCGGUGGAAUGCGUAGAGAUCGGGAAGAACAUCAGUGGCGAAGGCAGGUCACUGGGCCACUACUGACGCUGAGGAGCGAAAGCAUGGGGAGCGAACAGG